CCUACGGGAGGCUGCAGUGAGGAAUAUUGGUCAAUGGCCGGAAGGCUGAACCAGCCAUGCCGCGUGAAGGUCAGUGCCCUAUGGGCGUUAAACUUCUUUUGUGCGGGAGCAAUAAUGGUCACGUGUGGCCAGACGAGAGUACCGUACGAAUAAGCAUCGGCUAACUCCGUGCCAGCAGCCGCGGUAAUACGGGGGAUGCAAGCGUUAUCCGGAUUUAUUGGGUUUAAAGGGUGCGUAGGCUGUGAGGUAAGUCAGCGGUGAAAUGCCCCCGCUCACCGGGGUGAAGUGCCAUUGAUACUGCCUGGCUGGAAUGCGGAUGCCGUGGGAGGAAUGUGUGGUGUAGCGGUGAAAUGCAUAGAUAUCACACAGAACACCGAUUGCGAAGGCAUCUCACGAAUCCGCGAUUGACGCUGAUGCACGAAAGCGUGGGUAUCAAACAGGAUUAGAUACCCGAGUAGUC
Molecule: ribosomal RNA, 460 nt
Filed under: uncultured bacterium
Lineage: Bacteria
Description: partial 16S ribosomal RNA
Rfam family: Bacterial small subunit ribosomal RNA
Source: RNAcentral